Molecule: ribosomal RNA, 903 nt
Filed under: uncultured bacterium
Lineage: Bacteria
Description: bacterial SSU rRNA
Rfam family: Bacterial small subunit ribosomal RNA
Source: RNAcentral
AGUUUGAUCCUGGCUCAGAACGAACGCUGGCGGCGUGCUUAACACAUGCAAGUCGUACGAGAAACUGGAACUUCGGUUCCGGGAGUAAAGUGGCGCACGGGUGAGUAACGCGUAGGUAAUCUACCCUUGGGUUUGGAAUAACCCGCCGAAAGGCGUGCUAAUACCGGAUAAAAUCUUUCGGAGGGAUCUGAAAGAUCAAAGGUGGCCUCUCCAUGGAUGCUACCGCCUGAGGAUGAGCCUGCGUCCCAUUAGCUUGUUGGUAGGGUAAUGGCCUACCAAGGCUACGAUGGGUAGCUGGUCUGAGAGGAUGAUCAGUCACACUGGAACUGGAACACGGUCCAGACUCCUACGGGAGGCAGCAGUGAGGAAUAUUGCGCAAUGGGGGAAACCCUGACGCAGCGACGCCGCGUGGGCGAAGAAGGCCUUUGGGUCGUAAAGCCCUGUCUAGAGGGAAGAAAUUCUCAAUGGAAUAAUACCCAUUGAGAUUGACGGUACCUCUGGAGGAAGCACCGGCUAACUCCGUGCCAGCAGCCGCGGUAAUACGGAGGGUGCGAGCGUUGUUCGGAAUUACUGGGCGUAAAGCGGGUGUAGGCGGUUUGUUAAGUCAGAUGUGAAAGCCCACGGCUCAACCGUGGAAGUGCAUCUGAAACUGGCAGACUUGAGUACCGGAGAGGGAAGUGGAAUUCCUGGUGUAGGGGUGAAAUCCGUAGAUAUCAGGAGGAACACCGGUGGCGAAGGCGACUUCCUGGACGGAUACUGACGCUGAGAUCCGAAAGCGUGGGGAGCAAACAGGAUUAGAUACCCUGGUAGUCCACGCCCUAAACGAUGGGCACUAGGUGCAGGGGGUGUUGACCCCUCCUGUGCCGCAGCUAACGCAUUAAGUGCCCCGCCUGGAGUCACCAC